RNAcentral lists this small RNA (184 nucleotides) under Serratia symbiotica. Its description in RNAcentral is "Manganese sequence". It matches the Rfam family "Manganese Mn2+ riboswitch aptamer (yybP-ykoY)". Rfam says of the family: This RNA was originally discovered in E. coli during a large scale screen and was named SraF. The family was later found to exist upstream of related families of protein genes in many bacteria, including the the yybP and ykoK genes in B. subtilis. The specific functions of these proteins are unknown, but this structured RNA element may be involved in their genetic regulation as a riboswitch. The record is from RNAcentral. RNAcentral also lists the same sequence under 1 other name. Lineage: Bacteria; Pseudomonadati; Pseudomonadota; Gammaproteobacteria; Enterobacterales; Yersiniaceae.
UGCAUCGUCAUUGGGGAGUAGCCGGUUUCUGGUCAAUCAGCCAGAAACGCCCGUAUCAACAUACUCGUUUCACCUUAAGAAACGUGGUGCGGGCAGCCAGCCAGGUUGGCGAGACCAUAGACACGUAAUUCCGUCGUAAGGUUGGGGAUGGGUUACGUGUGUAUGGAGCCGCCCAGCCGAGGCU